This 464-nucleotide ribosomal RNA is filed under the name uncultured bacterium. RNAcentral describes it as "partial 16S ribosomal RNA". It matches the Rfam family "Bacterial small subunit ribosomal RNA", at positions 338 to 795 of the family's 1533-position model. The record is from RNAcentral.
CCUACGGGAGGCAGCAGUAGGGAAUUUUCGUCAAUGGGCGCAAGCCUGAACGAGCAAUGCCGCGUGAACGAGGAAGGUCUUCGGAUCGUUAAGUUCUGUUGAUGGGGAAAAAGAGCGGAGAGAGGAAAUGGUCUACGAUUGAUAUUAUCCUUCGAGGACGUCACGGCUAAAUACGUGCCCGCAGCCGCGGUAAUAAGUAGGUGGCGAGCGUUAUCCGGUAUGGUUGGGCGGAAAGGGGGCGUAGGCGGCCUGCUAAGUCUGGAGUGAAAGGUACCGGCUCAACCGGUACAGGCUCUGGAAACUGGCGGGCUAGAGAGCAGGAGAGGGCGGUGGAACUCCAUGUGUAGCGGUAAAAUGCUUAGAUAUAUGGAAGAACACCAGUUGCGAAGGCGGCCGCCUGGCCUGUUACUGACGCUGAGGCACGAAAGCGUGGGGAGCGAAUAGGAUUAGAUACCCUUGUAGUC